CGAUGGUGUCAUUCUGUGAUACGUGUACCAUAUUUACGUGUAAUGUUUAAAACUGUUUUAAAAAAGUAUUAUAGUAAUAACGACAAGUUUCUACGUGAACUUUGUGCUGCGCGAUGCCAUAGUUGUAUGUUAGAUGCAUACAUUUUUGUGCUACAUGCAAGCAAGGUGAAGUAAUCAUUAAUUGACCUAAAUAAAAACAAUAACAACAUCGCUGGCGGUAGGAUUUACAGGACCAAAUCAAAUGUCGUGAUCUAAUCAGGACUGCGUACACGUCACACGGCCUAUUAAUGAUGAACCUACACGACUUUAACCUAGGAAAUACUAUUUCUGUGCUCAGCUGUGAUUGGAUGUUGACUCAUGGUUAAUCUACACUAGCAUUCACAACUAUGUUUACA
Molecule: long non-coding RNA, 395 nt
Organism: Priapulus caudatus
Lineage: Eukaryota; Metazoa; Priapulida; Priapulimorpha; Priapulimorphida; Priapulidae
Exons: 2
Source: RefSeq, a predicted model, not a curated record